UGGAUGAACUACUGAAAGCUGCUGAGUGUCCUGCAGCAGGCCAUUUCCAAUCCAGCGGAAGACCUUCUAGAAGAGAUGAUGGUGGGAGAGUGCUGACAUACUAUGUGAAGCUACUAUUUGGAGUUGGACACGAGUGCAUGUGUCCUUGUGCCACAACGGGAAUCUUGACUACAACACAAAUGAAUCCACUCAAAUGUUGGCAAGUGGAGCAGAGUCCCAGAACAGGUACAGAAACACCCCCAGUUCAAGGAUCUUCACACCUGGAUUUAGGCCUACUCCUGCAACUACCCCAGGCACCAAUUUGAUCUUCUACUACUUUGCAGACAUCUCUUCUGCAAACACCAGACAAAUUGAGACAAUGACCUUCCACAGGACCCAAAUCACCUCUUACUGCAGGAAAGAAGAUCCAGUGAGAAAAUUAGUCCACAAAUGGAAUGUAAAUCCAUAAACACUCUUAAGUAACAGAAUAAAUUUAGUAUGAACGUUUUUAUGUGGGAGCUCUUGAAAUGGUUGCUGCUCAUAUGUCAGAGACACAUGCAGUUUAAGAAAGGUAGCAGUUCCAAUCCUGGUUUGGCCCA
RNAcentral lists this long non-coding RNA (578 nucleotides) under Homo sapiens (human). RNAcentral describes it as "non-protein coding lnc-ZNF705D-2:28". The record is from RNAcentral. Lineage: Eukaryota; Metazoa; Chordata; Mammalia; Primates; Hominidae.